Molecule: long non-coding RNA, 1194 nt
Organism: Panthera uncia (snow leopard)
Lineage: Eukaryota; Metazoa; Chordata; Mammalia; Carnivora; Felidae
Exons: 3
Source: RefSeq, a predicted model, not a curated record
GGGCAGGGAGGGGAGGAAGGCAUGAAGCCAAAGGAGAAGUUGGGCUGGGGUGCAAUCUGAACAGAGGCCUCGGCUGACCCUGGGUGAGGGUCCGAGGCAGGGACAAGGCAUUGGAGGAGGAGCAAGGGAAAACACAACGUUCCUCUGCCACGCUGGGUGUCCCCCGGGGCUGGCGAUGAGUUCUGCAGACCUCUAAUCUCCAAACGCCGAGCUGCCCACAGCCCCCCCGCUUUGGAGCCUGCGGGCAGCGAACAGUCAAAUCUAUUCCGACCUCCAAGGCUGCGGUUCGAGCUGCUGGUCAAUCUCAGCCUCGCGUGAAGGCAAAGCGACAGAGACGGGGUGGGAUCCGGGAGCAAUACCUCGUCGUGGGCACCCUGCAGAGCGUAAGCGUGCAGACACGGAGGCUGCAAAGCAAUGAAUGCCUCUGUGAGGUAAGGGGCUGGGCCCGGCAGCUGGGGGAGUCCUGCCAUCGUCAGCAUUCGACGGUCUGUGUGCUGUGCCACCUGCCACGCUUGGCUUCCGGCACGCUGUGCCUGUCACGUGGCCCGGAGGCAGUCCCCUUGGAGUCCCCAGAUGCUGGCUCUCCCACCUCUGUUCUUGUGUGACACAGAGGUGUGGCUAUGCGCGGGGGAGCCCAGGGCUGUGGGGAGAAAUCAGAAAUGCGGCCAAGAGGGAGCGGGUCCAGGAAGAGCCACGGUUUGACCCUCGCCAGGCCAUCCUACACCGGUCGGACUCUUCCUCCGGGGUUUGGAAAAAGCGAGCAGCCACAAGAGGCUCCCAGGUAUCCCAUCUGCCGCCUUUCCUCACGGGAGGAAUCUCAGGAAGGUCUGGUGGCCGCAGCUGUGACCUCCAUCACCACGCGCCCGCGAGUGUGAACGGUCACAGCUGUGGCCCCCGCACACACCAGGCUUCACCGCAGCAUCCCCUCCCCGUCCCCAUCCCAACACUCACCAACAACCAGGAGGCGUUGGGGGAGUGUUUAAAAACCAUGAUCACCCAUUAAAGCCUGUAAGGCACAGAAGACCUUCACGCGACCCUUGUCAUCACAAACCAACACGUUCUCAGGGUUCCGGGCGUCAUCAGUGAAUAAGAUGCUGCUUAAGUGACAUUUCUAGAUGACCCGGUCAGGCCCGCCUGUUCAUCGACCGACGCCUUAUGGUAGCCACGUUAACCUAAAAAGCUUUCCCAAAUUUA